This 305-nucleotide ribosomal RNA is filed under the name uncultured bacterium. RNAcentral's name for it is "bacterial SSU rRNA". It matches the Rfam family "Bacterial small subunit ribosomal RNA", at positions 28 to 307 of the family's 1533-position model. The record is from RNAcentral.
GAUGAACGCUGGCGGCGUGCUUAACACAUGCAAGUCGAACGGGGUGCUCAUGACGGAGGAUUCGUCCAACGGAUUGAGUUACCUAGUGGCGGACGGGUGAGUAACGCGUGAGGAACCUGCCUUGGAGAGGGGAAUAACACUCCGAAAGGAGUGCUAAUACGCAUGAUGCAGUUGGGUUCGGCAUGGCGUCUGACUGCCAAACGAUUUAUUCGCUCUGAGAUGGCCUCGCGGUCUGAUUAGCUAGUUAGGCGGGGUAACGGGCCCACCUAGGCGACGAUCAGUAGCCGGACUGAGAGGUUGACCGG